RNAcentral lists this ribosomal RNA (414 nucleotides) under uncultured bacterium. RNAcentral describes it as "bacterial SSU rRNA". It matches the Rfam family "Bacterial small subunit ribosomal RNA", at positions 505 to 916 of the family's 1533-position model. The record is from RNAcentral.
GUGCCAGCAGCCGCGGUAAUACGUAGGGUGCGAGCGUUGUCCGGAAUUAUUGGGCGUAAAGAGCUCGUAGGCGGUCUGUCGCGUCGGAAGUGAAAACUCGGGGCUUAACCCCGAGCCUGCUUUCGAUACGGGCAGACUUGAGGAAUGUAGGGGAGAACGGAAUUCCUGGUGGAGCGGUGGAAUGCGCAGAUAUCAGGAGUAACACCAGUGGCGAAGGCGGUUCUCUGGACAUUAACUGACGCUGAGGAGCGAAAGCGUGGGGAGCAAACAGGCUUAGAUACCCUGGUAGUCCACGCCGUAAACGGUGGGCACUAGGUGUGGGGGACAUUCCACGUUCUCCGUGCCGUAGCUAACGCAUUAAGUGCCCCGCCUGGGGAGUACGGCCGCAAGGCUAAAACUCAAAGAAAUUGACGG